RNAcentral lists this unclassified non-coding RNA (1192 nucleotides) under Hevea brasiliensis (rubber tree). Lineage: Eukaryota; Viridiplantae; Streptophyta; Magnoliopsida; Malpighiales; Euphorbiaceae. The record is from RNAcentral.
UUUUUUUUUAUGGUUAUUCUAGGAAAACAAGUUUGAACUACUUUGUUGGGAUGUUAUUUAUAGAUUGGAAUCAUAUUUUACUUGUGAAUUUAGUAAUAUGUGCUUCAUACAACUUUGCUUUCAAUGCUUCCAUAAAUUCUUUAUUUCUUUCUUCUUUUCUUAUAUUUAAUAUCUUCCAUCUGACACCAAAAUUUUGGUUUCACUAUCUGUUUCAAAUUUCAAUAAUUCCAUUUGUUUUGAAAUUGCACAUGUAUCUUCCAUCAUUCUCCCGACUUCGUUUUUUGCAUUAUAACUUUUUGUUUUGGAUAUAUCAGAAAUUUUUUAAAUGAGGGAGGGAUACCAGGGUUUGAAAGUCUAACCUCCUACAUUACUAGGUAGGCAUUAAUACUAUUGCAAAGAUAAUAAAUGUUUAAAAUUAAACUUGAUCAGAGAUUUGGAAUUCAGGAAUAGGGCCUAAUUUUGAAGCCGUAUUUAUCUAGUUCCACUCUUCUUUGGUGUGAUAACUUUGCAUACUUUUUGCUUUUAUGUGUUUUUUUUAAUUAAUGUGUUAGAAGUGUAUUAAUGAAAUUGGGAUUUUACAUGUAAUUUUUGCUGGUACUUAGAAUUUUCUCUAUGGGAUAUAUUAUAUAGUUAAUUUAUGUGCUUAGAGUGAAGUUUGAAUUGGAUGGUUCCAAUGACCCUUACAGGUAAAGAGUAUUACAGGCGAAUACUCCCAAGAAGUUAACCGUUGGACAGCUGAAGCUUUAGUAGCACUUCAAGAGUGAAAAAGGAUUUUGAAUUGGCACGUCGGCUUGGAGGGAAGGGACGACCUUGGUGAAAAUGUUACGGCGUAACCAAGAGCAACAUCACUGAUUAUAACCAUUAUGAGAUGUAAUUCUGCUGUUGUUCUUUGAUAGUAAUUCCUUUCCUCCUAUUGUGGGCAUAAUAACAACUAGGAAGUCAGAAACAUGCUUAGCUCUCCUGCAGCCAAUUUGUUGCUUCCUGUUUGAGAGUGUAGCCUAGGUAGAUUCCAUGUAAACAGGUAGAUUCCUUUCUCAGAAUAUUUCUUAAGAUCACAAAUUGUCUUAGGGUUACUUUUGGACCAUUUAGCCAUUCAUGGUUGUAAGCUGGCCUAUGUAGCUGUGCAUACAUGAGAAUAUUUGUGUUGGACCAUUCAGCCUUCUUUGUGUAAUAUGUCUAAAUAGAAUCAUUU